RNAcentral lists this ribosomal RNA (837 nucleotides) under uncultured bacterium. RNAcentral's name for it is "bacterial SSU rRNA". It matches the Rfam family "Bacterial small subunit ribosomal RNA", at positions 545 to 1380 of the family's 1533-position model. The record is from RNAcentral.
GGGCAAUAUUUGGGCGUAAAGAGCUCGUAGGUGGUUUGUCACGUCGUCUGUGAAAUUCCGGGGCUUAACUCCGGGCGUGCAGGCGAUACGGGCAUAACUUGAGUACUGUAGGGGAGACUGGAAUUCCCGGUGUAGCAGUGAAAUGCGUAGAUAUCAGGAAGAACACCGAUGGCGAAGGCAGGUCUCUGGGCCAUUACUGACACUGAGGAGCGAAAGCAUGGGUAGCGAACAGGAUUAAAUACCCUGGUAGUCCAUGCCGUAAACGUUGGGCACUAGAUGUGGGGGACAUUCCACGUUUUCCGCGUCGUAGCUAACGCAUUAAGUGCCCCGCCUGGGGAGUACGGCCGCAAGGCUAAAACUCAAAGGAAUUGACGGGGGCCCGCACAAGCGGCGGAGCAUGCUGAUUAAUUCGAUGCAACGCGAAGAACCUUACCAAGGCUUGACAUGCACCGGACGAUCCCAGAGAUGGGGUUUUCUUCGGACUGGUGCACAGGUGGUGCAUGGUUGUCGUCAGCUCGUGUCGUGAGAUGUUGGGUUAAGUCCCGCAACGAGCGCAACCCUUGUUCUAUGUUGCCAGCACGUGAUGGUGGGGACUCAUAGGAGACUGCCGGGGUCAACUCGGAGGAAGGUGGGGACGACGUCAAAUCAUCAUGCCCCUUAUGUCUUGGGCUUCAAGCAUGCUACAAUGGUCGGUACAAUGGGUUGCGAAACUGUGAGGUGGAGCGAAUCCCAAAAAGCCGGCCUCAGUUCGGAUUGGGGUCUGCAACUCGACCCCAUGAAGUCGGAGUCGCUAGUAAUCGCAGAUCAGCAACGCUGCGGUGAAUACGUUCCCGGGUC